AGAGUUUGAUCCUGGCUCAGGAUGAACGCUGGCGGCGUGCCUAACACAUGCAAGUCGAACGGGAUCCACCUGGUUUACCGGGUGGUGAGAGUGGCGAACGGGUGAGUAACACGUAGCUUAUCUGUCCUGGAGAGCGGGAUAACGCACCGAAAGGUGUGCUAAUACCGCAUAAGCUCACGAGGGGUAGAGCCUUUGUGAGCAAAGGCUAUGGCAGUGCUCUGGGGUGAGGCUGCGGUCCAUCAGCUGGUUGGUGAGGUAACGGCUCACCAAGGCGAUGACGGAUAGGGGGCCUGAGAGGGUGACCCCCCACACUGGAACUGAGACACGGUCCAGACCCCUACGGGAGGCAGCAGUGAGGGAUAUUGCCCAAUAGACGCCAGUCUGAGGCAGCGACGCCGCGUGGGUGAGGAAGGCUUUCGAGUCGUAAAGCCCUUUUCUGCGUGACGAGGAAGGACGGUAGCGCAGGAAUAAGUGUCGGCUAACUACGUGCCAGCAGCCGCGGUAAAACGUAGGACGCGAGCGUUAUCCGGAAUUACUGGGCGUAAAGCGCGUGCAGGCGGGUCAGCAAGUCAGCCGUGAAAGCUCCCGGCUAAACUGGGAGAGGUCGGUUGAGACUGCUGGUCUGGAGGGUGCUGGAGGCGUGUGGAAUUCCGCGUGUAGUGGUGAAAUGCGUAGAGAUGCGGAGGAACACCGGUGGCGAAGCGGCACGCUGGGGCACACCCGACGCUGAGACGCGAAAGCAUGGGUAGCGAACGGGAUUAGAAACCCCGGUAGUCCAUGCCGUAAACGAUGUGCACUAGACGUUCGAGCGGCACAGCCGUUUGAGUGUCGGAGCCAACGCGUUAAGUGCACCGCCUGGGGAGUACGGCCGCAAGGCUAAAACUCAAAGGAAUUGACGGGGGCCCGCACAAGCAGCGGAGCGUGUGGUUUAAUUCGAGGCUACGCGAAGAACCUUACCUGGGCUCGACAUGCACGUAGUAGUGAAGCGAAAGCGGAGCGACCCUUCGGGGAGCGUGCACAGGUGCUGCAUGGCUGUCGUCAGCUCGUGUCGUGAGAUGUUCGGUUAAGUCCGAAAACGAGCGCAACCCUUGUUGCUAGUUACAAGUGUCUAGCGAGACUGCCUGCGGUAAGCAGGAGGAAGGUGGGGAUGACGUCAAGUCAGCAUGGCCUUGAUGUCCAGGGCGACACACACGCUACAAUGGUCGGUACAAUGGGUAGCCAAGCCGCGAGGUGGAGCCAAUCCUGUAAAGCCGGUCGUAGUUCGGAUUGUAGGCUGCAACUCGCCUGCAUGAAGUCGGAGUUGCUAGUAACCGCAGGUCAGCACACUGCGGUGAAUACGUUCCCGGGCCUUGUACACACCGCCCGUCACGUCAUGGGAGCUGGUUAUGCCUGAAGUCGGGAAGCCAACCGCAAGGAGGCUACCGCCGAAGGCAGAGCCGGUGACUGGGACGAAGUCGUAACAAGGU
This 1466-nucleotide ribosomal RNA is filed under the name uncultured bacterium. Its description in RNAcentral is "16S ribosomal RNA". It matches the Rfam family "Bacterial small subunit ribosomal RNA". The record is from RNAcentral.